This 1108-nucleotide ribosomal RNA is filed under the name Candidatus Phytoplasma zeae. RNAcentral's name for it is "bacterial SSU rRNA". It matches the Rfam family "Bacterial small subunit ribosomal RNA", at positions 210 to 1326 of the family's 1533-position model. Lineage: Bacteria; Bacillati; Mycoplasmatota; Mollicutes; Acholeplasmatales; Acholeplasmataceae. The record is from RNAcentral.
UAGGUAUGCUUAGGGAGGAGCUUGCGUCACAUUAGUUAGUUGGUGGGGUAAAGGCCUACCAAGACUAUGAUGUGUAGCCGGGCUGAGAGGUUGAACGGCCACAUUGGGACUGAGACACGGCCCAAACUCCUACGGGAGGCAGCAGUAGGGAAUUUUCGGCAAUGGAGGAAACUCUGACCGAGCAACGCCGCGUGAACGAUGAAGUAUUUCGGUACGUAAAGCUCUUUUAUUAGGGAAGAAUAAAUGAUGGAAAAAUCAUUCUGACGGUACCUAAUGAAUAAGCCCCGGCUAACUAUGUGCCAGCAGCCGCGGUAAUACAUAGGGGGCAAGCGUUAUCCGGAAUUAUUGGGCGUAAAGGGUGCGUAGGCGGUUAAAUAAGUUUAUGGUCUAAGUGCAAUGCUCAACAUUGUGAUGCUAUAAAAACUGUUUAGCUAGAGUAAGAUAGAGGCAAGUGGAAUUCCAUGUGUAGUGGUAAAAUGCGUAAAUAUAUGGAGGAACACCAGUAGCGAAGGCGGCUUGCUGGGUCUUUACUGACGCUGAGGCACGAAAGCGUGGGGAGCAAACAGGAUUAGAUACCCUGGUAGUCCACGCCGUAAACGAUGAGUACUAAACGUUGGGUAAAACCAGUGUUGAAGUUAACACAUUAAGUACUCCGCCUGAGUAGUACGUACGCAAGUAUGAAACUUAAAGGAAUUGACGGGACUCCGCACAAGCGGUGGAUCAUGUUGUUUAAUUCGAAGGUACCCGAAAAACCUUACCAGGUCUUGACAUGCUUCUGCAAAGCUGUAGAAACACAGUGGAGGUUAUCAGUUGCACAGGUGGUGCAUGGUUGUCGUCAGCUCGUGUCGUGAGAUGUUGGGUUAAGUCCCGCAACGAGCGCAACCCUUAUUGUUAGUUACCAGCACGUAAUGGUGGGGACUUUAGCAAGACUGCCAGUGAUAAAUUGGAGGAAGGUGGGGACGACGUCAAAUCAUCAUGCCCCUUAUGACCUGGGCUACAAACGUGAUACAAUGGCUGUUACAAAGGGUAGCUGAAGCGCAAGUUUUUGGCGAAUCUCAAAAAAACAGUCUCAGUUCGGAUUGAAGUCUGCAACUCGACUUCAUGAAGU